Molecule: long non-coding RNA, 1157 nt
Organism: Homo sapiens (human)
Lineage: Eukaryota; Metazoa; Chordata; Mammalia; Primates; Hominidae
Exons: 2
Source: RefSeq, a predicted model, not a curated record
GGAUUACAGGCAUGAGCCACUGCGCCCAGCCUUAACUUGUUUUAGAUAAAUUAUUGGUUUCAUUUUUCAAACAGAAAAUGAAACUUCAACAAGCUAAAGAAUAGUGCAUGACUUGUACCAUUGACAGUGGUUCCAUGGCUGCCUCCAACAACCUCCCAGGCCCCUUCCUGAGCCAUCACAGGCAUCUGAAGGCACCGUCUUUACCCCUUGGUCGCAAGAGCAAAAUAGAGUGGAUGCAGCCUCUGUAUUCAUGUGGCUGAAUAGGAAAGUGAAAACAAAUUCCAGGGACUGAAAUGGAAUUGCUUGUAGGAACAAUUUGAUCAAUUUAUUUUAGCGUAGUGAUUCUCACCUAUGACCUAUCAUCCAAAUGGGUAUCCUGUGACUUCCUUUGUUGUUGAAUAAUGGUUUUGAGGGUUCCGUUUCAAUUGGCAACAUAGCAGUUCCAGAAUGUUUGCAAUCAAAAUGGCCAAUUUCCAUUCAAAUGUCAAUUACUAUGGGUGAGGAAAUCAGCAUUACAUCACAGAUGUGUGAGCACCUACACAAAGCCUGCAAAUGCUGGACAGGGAACCUCGUGCAAAUAAUAUGGCAGUAUUGGCAGGAAUGAUGGAGGAAUCCCUUUAAAAUGUACACUUCAGGCAGCAGCAGCUAACAGAAGGCCUGACCAUCAGAAGGGAAAAUGCACAUGCAGAUGAAUGUGUGGCAGCACUGGGAUCCUCCAGAUAUCCAGUUGAUUAUGAGAACUAUGACUAUCUGCAUAGUCAGAGUCAUUCUUUGGAAUCAGACAGAUGUGUAUGGGCUGGAGUAUGUACAUAUUAGGGCCAUAACAAUGAUUCAAGUCAGAGAAUUAUCAACCAUUGAUCACCAGUUUUCUCUGAAAUAGUCUGAAAACUGGUGACGAGAAGCCACUCACCAUUUGCUACUAACAGCUCAAAGGUGAAGAAUAUUCCAUUAAAUAAAGCACUAAAGAAGAUAAGCCUCUCCUCAGGCGACAAAGGGCCAACCCCAAAUGAAGUCCAUGCUGCGGGUCUUAAGGUCAUCUGCUCAUAAGAAACUGGUCACUUCUGGUGUGAGUUAAGAUGAAUGGAGAGAGAAUUGGUUCCCAGAGACCACAGUGAAAAAGGUUAAGAACAUAAUAAAGACCGUAAGUUCCCCAAAUA